CGAUGCUAGCCCUAGGGGGUAUACGGCCGCCGCCGGAGGUACGAAACUCUGCAUUAUAGUGGCAUCUCUGAGUAAAACACAAAUAAGUUAAAACUUUCAACAACGGAUCUCUUGGUUCUGGCAUCGAUGAAGAACGCAGCGAAAUGCGAUAAGUAAUGUGAAUUGCAGAAUUCAGUGAAUCAUCGAAUCUUUGAACGCACAUUGCGCCCGCUAGUACUCUAGCGGGCAUGCCUGUUCGAGCGUCAUUUCAACCCUCAAGCCCUGCUUGGUGUUGGGGCCCUACGGCUGCCGUAGGCCCUGAAAGGAAGUGGCGGGCUCGCUGCAACUCCGAGCGUAGUAAUUCAUUAUCUCGCUAGGGAGGCUUGCGGCGCGCUCCGGCCGUUAAAGACCAUCUUUAACUCAAGGUUGACCUCGGAUCAGGUAGGAAUACCCGCUGAACUUAAGCAUAUCAUAGAGCGCGGGAGGACAUCGUUAAUAGAAGCCGAAAGGCUACUUAAAACCAUCGCGAACACGUCCAAGUUGCUUCGGCGGUCGGGGCCCCCCAUCUGGGGCCCCCUCGAGUGCCGGUGAGCCCCCGAGGGUCUCCCUGGGGGUUAUACGGCGCCGCCGGAGGUACAAAACUCUGCAGUAUAGUUGGCAUCUCUGAGUAAACACAAAUAAGUUAAAACUUUCAACAACGGAUCUCUUGGUUCUGGCAUCGAUGAAGAACGCAGCGAAAUGCGAUAAGUAAUGUGAAUUGCAGAAAUCGUGAAUCAUCGAAUCUUUGAACGCACAUUGCGCCGCUAGUACUCUAGCGGGCAUGCCUGUUCAGCGUCAUUUCAACUCAAGCCUGCCUGGGUGUUGGGGGCCUACGCUGCGUAAGGCCCUGAAAAGAAAAUGGCGGGCUCCUGCACCUCGACCUAAUAUUCAUUAUCUCCUAGGGAGGCUUGGGCCGCUCCGCCGUUAAGACACUCUUACUCAAGUGACUCGAUCAGGUAGGAAUACCGCUGACCUAAGCAUAUCAUAAGCGGAGGAAG
This 1016-nucleotide ribosomal RNA is filed under the name Coniochaeta sp. UM123. RNAcentral describes it as "eukaryotic LSU rRNA". The stretch from base 92 to 245 matches the Rfam family "5.8S ribosomal RNA". The record is from RNAcentral. Lineage: Eukaryota; Fungi; Ascomycota; Sordariomycetes; Coniochaetales; Coniochaetaceae.